CCUACGGGUGGCAGCAGUGGGGAAUAUUGCACAAUGGGGGAAACCCUGAUGCAGCGACGCCGCGUGAGUGAAGAAGUAUUUCGGUAUGUAAAGCUCUAUCAGCAGGGAAGAAAAUGACGGUACCUGACCAAGAAGCCCCGGCUAACUACGUGCCAGCAGCCGCGGUAAUACGUAGGGGGCAAGCGUUAUCCGGAUUUACUGGGUGUAAAGGGAGCGUAGACGGCAGUGUAAGUCUGGAGUGAAAGGCCGGGGCUUAACCCCGGAACUGCUUUGGAAACUGUGCAGCUGGAGUGCAGGAGAGGUAGGUGGAAUUCCUGGUGUAGCGGUGAAAUGCGUAGAUAUUAGGAGGAACACCGGUGGCGAAGGCGGCUUGCUGGACUGUAACUGACGUUGAGGCUCGAAAGCGUGGGGAGCAAACAGGAUUAGAUACCCUAGUAGUC
This 440-nucleotide ribosomal RNA is filed under the name uncultured bacterium. Its description in RNAcentral is "partial 16S ribosomal RNA". It matches the Rfam family "Bacterial small subunit ribosomal RNA", at positions 338 to 795 of the family's 1533-position model. The record is from RNAcentral.